CCUAACCCCCUAAUUCUGCAUCCCUAAUAUUGCGAUUGACGAUUCGCCUUCGAUCUUCUUCUCUGCAGCUAUCACCUUUCUCAGUUCAAACCCAACAACCCUGCAGUAAUGGAGUUAAAACAAGUAUAGAUCCUGAUGCCGAAAUCUGCCGUACAGCUAUUGUACAUCGUUCGUCGGAGGGACAGGUUGUGGUAUUUGUUCACCUGGAUAUACCAUGGCCGAUGGGGUCAGACAGAUUUUUGGGGAGGAUGAUAUUUUUAUGAAAUGCUCACGCAAUGCAGCGCAAUCUAUUGGGGAUAACAUUCAAUCCCAUAUCAAUAGCCGAAGAAGUGAAGAGAUGUAAUAGAAGAUGACAUUCAACAACCGAUAAAAUCUCCUACCCGGGUUCUUCCAAGUACCGGAAACCAUCAAGACAACAACUUGAUUGUGCCUGUAGUUCGGCCAAUUCGAUCCUGUUGACUUACAGGAUGGACUACCAAUUCCUUUCAUAUUACUUCUAUGCUUGCUACAGGGGAAGAAAAAUGGAAGCCAUUGAGGCCGGCGGUCUCGUCAAGAAUAGAGGAUCGAAGAUAAGGAGGAAUAAAAGGAAGAGGAC
RNAcentral lists this long non-coding RNA (595 nucleotides) under Linum usitatissimum (flax). Its description in RNAcentral is "long non-coding RNA (LUSI_LNC007838)". The record is from RNAcentral. Lineage: Eukaryota; Viridiplantae; Streptophyta; Magnoliopsida; Malpighiales; Linaceae.